GUGCAUGUGUUGUUUUCAGUCUCCUCGAACAACCAGGUAACCAUUAACCUUCACCGGUCAGAAUCUAAAGACAAGAAUCAUGGGGGUGAAGAUAAAAGUCGAAUACUGCGGCGGAUGAGGCUACGAGCCUCGUUUCCGGGAGCUGAAGCGAGGUAUCAACGCCAAGUGUCCUGAUGCCGAGGUGUCAGGCUUCGUGGGCCGGAGAGUUUUGAGGUACAGAUCAAUGAACAUCUGGUCUUCUCAAAAUUAGAAACAGGAGGUUUCCCCUAUGAAGAGGAUGUAAGCAUCAGGGAAUAUUACAUUGUCAGAGUAAAUUCAAGCAUUUAAUCAAAGCC
RNAcentral lists this long non-coding RNA (335 nucleotides) under Sinocyclocheilus grahami. RNAcentral describes it as "lncRNA (ENSSGRG00000001594.1)". The record is from RNAcentral. Lineage: Eukaryota; Metazoa; Chordata; Actinopteri; Cypriniformes; Cyprinidae.